This 85-nucleotide transfer RNA is filed under the name Olsenella profusa. RNAcentral's name for it is "tRNA-Leu". It matches the Rfam family "tRNA". Rfam says of the family: Transfer RNA (tRNA) molecules are approximately 80 nucleotides in length. Their secondary structure includes four short double-helical elements and three loops (D, anti-codon, and T loops). Lineage: Bacteria; Bacillati; Actinomycetota; Coriobacteriia; Coriobacteriales; Atopobiaceae. The record is from RNAcentral.
GCCCGAGUGGCGGAAUUGGCAGACGCGACGGUCUCAAAAACCGUUGAGGAAACUCGUGCGGGUUCGAGCCCCGCCUCGGGCACCA